AUGGAGGAUCUCUGCGGAGAGAUUACGGCGGAAGACUCGCCACGUUGUGCCGUAAGAAGCAGAGGUGAUGUCAUGCUGGUUGCUGCUGAUGAUUUUCCAUGUGGGAAGAGGCGGGGGUCUGUCAGCAAAGAUGGCACCGUUUUGGACCAAGGCCUUGUGGGCCAGGGAGCGAUCGGCGAUAAAGAUAGCCGGGCGAGGGCCGACAUAGAGCGUGAAGACGGGGCCAAGCUUGGAGUGAAGGUUUCUGAGGAUUGGUUCGAUUUCGGUGAAAGAUUUGAGAAGCCACCGAAGGUUGCCGAUGAGGGGGACAUUGAAGGGGCCUGGAGGAAGAUUGGUUUUGUAUUUGGAGGAGAUGAUAACGCCGAUGAAAGCUUUGAGAAGGGCAGCAACGGCGAUUGAGAUUAGGAUGAUGAACCCGAAUUCCAUUUCUGCAAAUUGAUAAGUCAAAAAAGAGUAAACGGUGUGACGAAUAAUAAUAAUAAUUAAUAUUCAGUUGGUUGUAAGCAACUGGCGGUGUGUAGUUUUCGAAAGCGUUCGUGUUUAUAUAAGCCAAUCUUGAAUUAUUUUGAAUGUGAUUGUCCCAAGCAACUGGCGGUGUGUAGUUUUCCAAAGCGUUGGUGUUUAUACAAGUCAAUCUUGAAUUAUUUUGACUGUGAUUGUCCCAAUAUAUUUUUGGUCAUGUCUCUGGUCUACCAAUUGCUACAUAUCUCAAUGAAUUAUUUUGAAUGUGAUUGUCCCAAGAUAUUUUUGGUCAUGUCUCUGGUCUGCCAAUUGCUACAUAUCUCAAAAUUUUAAUUCAAAAAAAUUAUCUAAUUAAUUAACUUAUAAUUGAUGAAAAACAGAAACUACUUAAUAAAUAAAAUAUUAAAUGCCAUAUAGUUUGAGAUAUCUAUUAUUACCUUUUUACUAUAUAUAUAUAUCCACAACUUUUCCUUCCAUAUGAUUAUCUAUAUCAAUAAUUGUUUAAAAUGUGUAAACAUAUGCAUAUAGUAAAAAUACUUAUAUUUAAUGACAGAAUAUGGAAAUAAUUCUGUAAUAACUAGAAUGAUAACACUAAAUCAUUUAGCACUGAUAUGUUUUUCAAGGAAUCAAGGAUUAAUUAAUUAGGAUUUCCAAGUCGACAGGAGUUAGUUUUAGGUGGGUGCCAUACUGCCAAUCUGCCAUUAAUAUACUGAGUGCACCAAUUCGAGACUCUAUACUGGUUUUUACAAAUUUUUUUUUGUUUUAUGUAUUUCUUUUUAAAUAUGAUUAGUAGAACUAGAAGUACAUUUUCCAAUUCUACUUAUAUAUUUAAACUAUAUUAUAAUAAGUUUAGAAUCUCGUAAACCUUAUAAUAUAUUUGUAGAUUCUAACUACUUAAUUGGUAUUUGGUUUAUUAAAUUAAUUACUGACAAUCAAUAACGGUUUGGAAAUAUCAUAAAUAUCAAUUUAAAAUUAGUUUAUUUAAUCAAAGGAUAAGACUAUUUGAACCCACUAAUUUAUUUUCUACAUCAUCUUUUUAAUUAAGAGUUUUAUUACAUAAAUAAUUUUCUUAAAAAUUACUUAAUUAACGUUUCUUCUUUUUCUCUUCUCAAUUUCAUAAAUUUUCAUCAAUUUAGUUCUAAAAGUUAAUGAAUAUAAAAAUUAAUUUUUAUCAGACACAAAAGCAAAUGAAAAUCAAUAAUAAAAUUCUUAUAUACAAAAAGCAUGAAAUAAAGAUUAUGAUAUAAUUAGAAAUACCAAAAAAUGAAUUCAAAAAAUAAAAUAAAAUUGAGUUUCUAAUUUACAAAAUAUGAGAGUAGAAAGAGAAUACACAAUUAUAAGAUAGAGAGAGAAAGAGAUUAGUGAAGGUAACUUUAAAAUUUUUAAUAAAAUGGGUGUAGAGAGGAAUUUGGUGGGUUAGCCCCACCCUUUAUCAAAUAGCAAAGAAAAUCUUGUAUGUUAUGCUUUUUGGAUUGGUGUAUGUUUGUCACUCAGCCUUUGGCCGAGUGGUUGAGUUGCUGCCCUCACAAGCCCCCACAAAAGUAUUGUGGGGGCUAUAAUAUUUGUAAGUCAUUCUCCCUUGUGAAAUGCGAGUGGAGUAGUGACAUCCCUCGUCUGUGAGGGUUAUUUGUCUGGAUAUGUAUUUCAUAAAAUUUAAUCUAAUAUUGUAAGUCUCAGUUAUGUAUAUCUUACUGUAAAUAUCAGUAUAAUGUCUGCUAUAAUAGCAUUUGUAAAUAUCUGCUAUAAUAUGUAAUCAGUAUUAAAAAAAAAAUUAGUGUAUGUUUUUAUUUUCGUUAAAUUCUAGAAAUAUUUUUCAAAUAAUGAAUAAAUACAAAAAAUAGAAAAAUAAAUGUCCACCUCAUCAUCUCUAAUUUUCAAUUGCUGAAAAUUAUUUUGAUUUUACACUACCAGAAGGUAAUAAAACUGUUUAAUUAUUCCAGCGCUUCAAUAUAGUAGAUUUGUACAGUGCUGACACAUGUUCAUUAGCUCAUCCUUUGAUGAGCAAAGUUGCCAAAUAAAUUUUAGUCAAAACAAGGUGUUUGUCAUAAAUAACAAACUGUUCGACGAAAUGCCAGAGUGAAGAGCCAGUUAGCGGGAAGUCAUAAUUUGAAUUCUAGAGCACAUGUAGAACCACCAAAGGAUAAGAAUGAAAGCCCUUAAAGAAUCUAGAAGCAGGUUUUGACAAUCCAAGGCCAGACAUCAAAUGAAAUAAUGGAGGAUUGGACUGCGCAGUGAAUAGAUAUUAGUUUGCUUUGAUAAUCUUUUAAUAAAGGCCAUAGGUGAAGAAAUGUUACAGCAUGUAAUCAUAGCACAGGUAUAUAAAUAAGGGUGUGUAUUCAUUAAUAAAAGUAAGCUGGUUUCAUCAAAAUCGUAGUUCAUGGUUUAAUUAAUGUUCUCUGCAUAGCAACGUAACCUUAGGAUUUCGGUGUUUUAUAUUAACAACUAUUAUUUAUGAACAAAUUUACACAUAUGGCUUUGAUAACAUCAAUUGUGAAACUCGAAUGAUGCAAAAGUUGGAUGUGCAUAGGUAUGUGUACAGCGAAUACACAACACACAUAUAUUCAGAAAAUAUGACCAAUAUUUGAUAACUUCAUAAAAUUAUGGAAAGCUUGGAAAGUAAUUGAUAGUCAGAUGAGUAAAGAGACUUUAUAUUGUAGCUUUAACAGCCAUAAUAAAAUUAUUAACAUGCCUUCUCUUAUCCCUUGCUCUAAAAUACUGGGUAAAACUCGUUUAGUUCCUAUAUUUUAGCUUACGUUGAAUUGUGAUGGUUUAAAUAGUAGAAGAUAUAUGUAAGAGGACAAAGAAGAAAAAAUAGUGUGUUUAGGUUUGAUUGUGAUGGUAUAUGUUUAAUUAUUACUGUCUUUUAUUAGGAAGGCUGUGAAUUCAAGAUUUAGACAAUAAAUGAAUGAGUGUUAACUUAUGUUGCCUAGCGAAAAUUUUCAAUAUUGUAUUAUAAAAAUGUUGUCUUCCCAAAGAAUGUUAUAUUCAAGAAAUCAUAAUAUAGGCAAUUAAAAUCAUAAUGUUGUCUUCGCUCAAAUUGAGGAAGAAAAUUAAACCCCCACAAAAUAGUAGACGCAUCACUAAAAUAACUUGAUAUUUGAAAGGUUUAAAAUCUUCAUUAAUUGUGGGGGUUUAAUUUACUUUCUCAAUAUAACACCCUAAGCAAAUCCCACAUUGGCAAAGCACGAGAGAGAUGAUAAGUUUAUAAGAGAUGAUUCAUACAUUACUUGGCAAGAAGCGUUUUAGGGUGUAUGGGCGUCUCAGGAACAAAACCAUGCGGGUCUUGUUAAGACUCAAAACGGACAAUAUCUUGCUAAGUCUAGGUUGGGUCAUGACAUUAUGGUAUCAGAGCGGCUCCGCGUGUUCUCUUGAGCGAUGGUGGGACAAACCUCAGCGAGGAUGCUGAGUUCCUAAGUAGGGUGUAUGUAACACCCUAGGCAUAUCCCACAUCGGCAGAGAUUCUGGAUUUAUAAGGGGUGAUCUAUACCUUAAUUGACAAGACGCAUUUUGGGGUGUAUGGCUACCCUAGGAACAAAACAGUGCGAGCCUUAUUAAGGCUCAAAGCGGACAAUAUCUUGCCAGGUCUAGGUUGGGUCAUGACACUGUCUUUAAGUAAAGACCGUCUUCUUCUUUUUCGAAAUGUGAGUGGAGCAGACGUCCCUCGAAUAUUAGAAAGGGUAAAAAAUCUAAGCGGCGCUUCAUAAAAAUUAAUGUAAACUAGUCCCAGUAAUAGUAAAUUGAUGUAAACUAAUUUCAGUAAUAGUCUGAUUUAUAAAUAUCAAUUGUAAUCUCAUAUAAUAUGAGUUGUACUCUUGAGCAAUAGUCUCAUGUAUUAAAAAAAAAAAUUCAUUAAAGCACCCAUCCUGCACAAGUAUUUCACUAUGUUUAGAAAGUGAUAAUUUAUCUUAAUAUCCCAUUAUAGUAUGAGGCCUACAUUUAUGUCACUUCAGCAGCUGGGGUAAUUUACCGGAGUAGUGAUAAUAAAUUUUGGUGUUUUAAUCUUGCUUCUUCCUCUUCUUCUAUCUUUUUUUUUUCUUUUAAUAAUAUUACUUUGCAUGGUAUAGUAUACAUUGACUAAUAAAUACACUUGUAUUCGAAGUAUUUAACAAUAUUUGACUUAUCAGUGAAAAAAAAAUAUAUGUGACUUAUAUUAAUUAGUCUUCCAACUUGUUUGAAAAUGUUAGCUAUCAAUAAGGUGGUUGUAACACUGAUAUUAAUAUCGCUUUGACUUGGCACAUCAUCCCACCUUCACAGCUACAACUAACUUAAUCAUUUAAUUUUGCAGUAGAUCAAAACACACGGUAUCCCAAUAUUAUUGGAGAAAUUCUACAAUACUCUUAAUGUAUUAUAAUUAAUUGAUAUAUAUAUAUAUGAUAUGUGUAGUUGAAUUUAAUACAAUUAUUAUUUGUAACAUAAUUUUUUAAAAUAAAUACACACAUAUUAUAAUACUAUUUAUUUAUUGUAUAGUUGAAAUUGUACCUCAAAUGUAUUUUAAAAUUUCUCAUAUUAUUGAGUGAAAAAAAAAAAAUUAUCAAACGUGUCAUCCUUAUCCACGGAUGAAAGGAAAGCAAUAUAUACAGAAGGGGUCAAAAAUUUACAUGGUGAAUCAUUCAAUCAAUACAUGCCAAGUGUUUUGACUUUCCUUUCCUCUCUCUCUCUCUCUAUAUAUAUAUAUUAUCAUCAAAUUCAGAAUAAUUAUGCGUGUGUCCAAAAGAAGAACAUUAAUCAUUUUACUUUUUUUUUUCUUUUUUGGUUCUAAUACGUGCAUCAUGCAUGUUAAAAAAAAAAAAAACAAUGAUGUCUGCUGCCUACUGGUAGAAACUUGUGUACGUAAUUCACACGUUAAAAAAGAAAAAAAAAAUGAUCUAUAGAUCGUAUUCGUGACACCUCGAGUUCUUGUAUUUUAUGAACACCAAAAUUAGUGGUUAGUUGCGUUUUAUCAGCAAAUCCAAACUACAACUAUAUAUAUGUGUAUAUAUAUAUAUAUAUAUAUACAAGUCAUCUAUUUUGAUGCUUUCUUGUUCUUUGUUGUUUGUCGAUUGUCUCCUCCAUUCUAUAACGUCACCACUUAGGUAAUAAUAUGAAGUGAUAACUAGUGGAAAUGACGAAUAGCCCCUGAACAAAUGUUUAGUAAUUUUUUUUUUUUUUUGGGAUAUUAUCAUUUUACAUGUGGCCUAAUAUUUUCUGACAUAUCAUUUUAUUACCAACGUUUUCUAACAAUUAAUUUUUCACACUUAAUGUUUCAAUUUUUAUCAAUUUAUCACCAAAACAUUAACUCCAUUAAUAAAAUGCUGAUGUCACAGCAGUAUUUUAAGAAUUUCAGUAUAGUCAGUAUUUUAAGAAUUAUAAUAUCUACAAUUUUAUCAAUUAAUUAUUUGAGAUAUAUAAAAUAAUCAAUUGAUAAAAGUAUUGUUUAGAUGGUUAAAUUAUACUCCAGUUUAGGAAUAAACUAGACUUGUACUAUAAUUUCUAUUAAAAAUUAUGUUAACUUUAACGGUUUGAGGGUAAAAUGAUAAAAACUAAAAUAUUAAGUGGAGAAAAGCAAUUGUUAUAGAAAAUUUUGGUGGGGUAAAGUGUGGUAAAGUGUGUGUUGUAUAUUUAUUUAUUCCUUAUAACAAUUUUUUAACUAAUUAAGUUCGUUGAAAUUUUUAAUACUUCAUUUUAUUAUUGAAAUUAAAAUUUUAAUAGAAAUUCUCUUUAAAGAGUAAAUGUAAACUUUUAACAUACAAAUUGAUAGUCCUUAAAAAUUUGACAUGUUUUUGUUGGGAAAAUAUGCGCUUUAAAAGCAUAUAUGUUUAUUUAAUUGUAAUAAACUAUUUUUCUGAUUAAUAAAAUAAAUGAGGUAUUUUAUUCAAAUAUCUUAAUUGCAUUAAUACUUGUAUUAAAGUCCAUUUAAUCAUAUUAUAUAUAUUUAUGUGAUCACCAUGUGGAUUCACAGAAGAUAUAAAUACAAGUUAUCUUAUGAUUAAAUAAAUUUAGUUCGCAGUUGAUAAAUAAAGUUGGGCACUUUAUUUAGGUAUAGAUUGUAAUAAAUUCAUUGAAUGAUUUGUCUUAAUCAUGUAUGAAUUUAUUGAUGUAGUACGACUACAUUGAACAGGAUCACAUAUGAGAUUUAAUUAAUUUUGUAAUAACUGUCAGACUUAUUAAAUCUCAUAUGCGUUGAUUUUACUGUAAUCUUAAUCUUGAGUUAAUUAUGAUUUCAUGAUUGUAAUUGUUAUUUCAUUUGAGUUACCAAUGGGCACGACACAUCCUUGUGGUCAAGAUUAUCCGGUAUCUUGGUGGGAGCAAUUAUGAGUAUUGGAGUUAUGGAUUAACAAUAUAGAAUUUGUACAACACAUCUCUUGAUGGGUUUUCGGCACUUGAUCAUAGAAUUCUCUGGCCAGAGUGUGUCAACAUAUUUAGUAUGUUGAAAAUGAACAUUAGAGAAAACCAGUAAGGAUCAAGGAAUAAGAUGUUAUUAAAUUGAUUGGACAGUUGAGAUAUCAAUUUAAUUAACGAUGUGGUACAAAGGAUUGUGCAGUAAAUAAAUCAAUGUGGCUUGGGACGAAUUAUUAUUCGAGCAUACAAUUAUGGAAGUCAGUUCCAAUCUUUUAGUGGAGUAGAUUUGGAAUUAAAUAAUUGGGCUAGUUUAAUUACAGACCUAAUUAUUGUAGCCACUAUUGUAUGUUCCCAAAUGAUCCCCGGGUUAGCUCAUUUAAUUGACUGCACCACUACUGGACUAAUAAGUAAGAUAACUAGCUAUUUGGGUCAAAAGCCUAAAUAUAUCAUUUAGUGGGAGGCUCCAUUUAAUUAGCUUUUGUAUAAGGGGUCUUAUGUUAUUUUACAAGGUGGGUCCCCUAUUGAAAAAGAAAAUAACGUGAGUUUUAUUUAGGGCAUUAUUUGGAGCCUAGGGUUUUCACUAAAGGGAGAUAUAUAAGGCUUAUUUUCUCUAAAAAAGAAAGAGAAGCCACUUUAUACAGAUCAGAGAAAAAGAUUUUUCUCUCUAUUGUUGAGAGAAAAAUGUUCUCGUGCUAGUUGCUUUGGUAGUGAUAAAGGUGCCCACACGUCAAGUGCAGAUCGAACCUGAGUCAUAACCUGGAAGAUCAUUGGAGACUGUUCGUGAUCUAACAAGCGUGGUGGUGACGGAUCGUGAUCUAACAGGAGUGGUGGUGGCGGAUCGUGAUCUAGGAGCCUAAAACACUUCAGCAGAAAAAGCCAACUCGGAUUUUUAAGGUACGAUUUCUAAAAUACAAAUUCUUAUAUAUUAUAUGAGAGCGAUCUUCAAAAGGUUUUAUAAAAAUUUAAAAACCUAAUUUUUCCCCAACAGUUUUAACACAUAUGAAUGUCAAUUGAAAUGUCAUGUUUAUAAGUCAAAAUACAUAUAUAUAUUUUUUUAUGUUUACUUUUUAACAUGAAAGAUAAUAUUUGAUGUUUAACUUCAAUCAUUGAAGCAACAUGUGUUAUUCUCACUUUUGAUUAUUGGCUAUAUAACGGUGGGAGUAUGAUAAAGAUAAAGGGCUUCACUUUUGAUUAUCGGCCCUUUGAGUUGACAGUUUUUGUGGUGCAGUCCAUAUUGAUGCAAGAGUUUUUGGCACCAGCAAAUGGACCAGAUCAGGCUGGUGAUGAGGCCUUCGAGGGAAAAACCGUUGAUGUUAAGGUGGGAACUAAUUUAAGGAUUGCUUAUUGCUUAUAUAGUUACAAACUAUUAUCAAUAUUACGGGCACAUCAAAUAAAUCGCUUGUAUCAGUAACAAGAUGGGACAAUGAGGUGGUAGCCCGUUGACACAACCCAUGCACUCAAAUAUUGGUUUGAGCCCUGAUAAUAGUUGGGACUUGAUUCUCUCCUAAUUAGAUUGGGUAGGCGUAAAAUUCCUCCUCUGAGAAUUGAAUACCUAUAUUAUGUGGUGAUAUAAAUUCAAGCUGUGUCAUAUUGGGCUAACAAAAAUAGUGUCUGUAGGUUUUUUUAUUUAUUAUAAAUAUCAAUAGAAUUUCAAUGUUCUUUUAAUUAGUUGGUCCUUUCUUCCACUUCGGUGAUGAUGUUCUUUACUGUAAAAACAUAAAGAAAACGUGAGAGUCUACUUACGAGGCUUUUAUUUAAGAGUGCUGCUAGGUAGCGAGAGGGACGAGAGAAUGAUAAGAGAAACGGUAGCAGUUGCUGCCGUUUCGCCGCUCGUUCCUCUCGCUCAUUAAAACAUUAAAAAAUUUAAAAUUUUUGAAUAAAGAAAUGGCGCGUGAAAUCACGCAGGCUUUCACUUUCCUUCCUCACGCAUGCUUUCACUUUCCUCUCUCUCCAGCCAGAGUCCCAUACUCCACGGAACGGCAGUUUGAGUCUCUAAACUGCAUCCAAUCAGCUUUAAAAUAUGUUUGUGACUCAUUUGUGAUGUAUAUGCGAUGUUGUUAAUCGAAGUAUUAUAAAACUUCAUAGCAGAAAUAUUUUGCUCAAUUCCUAUAUACGUACUAUAUUUAUAUAUGUAGCCUCUACUACUGUUGAUUUAUUCCAAAAUGAUUCCUUAUCUUCCUUCUCCGAAUACCAAAUUGCUCUAACACACUCAGGAUCAUCUAAACUUCUACAAACCCAAAAAAUGACUUCACUUUAUUUAACAAUGAAAUCAAGGAUUUUAAGAACAUUAAAGGAAAUAUAACAAAAGGGAGUUUGGAGAUGUCACAGGUGCAUGUGGAUGCGCAAAUCUGGAAUGCAGAUAAACAAAAACAGAGGAACUCUGUACUUGGGCCCCUGCAGCAAAGUGAAUAAAACAAGAAAUGAUGUUUCUUCUUUCUGAGUAUGGAAGUGAUUUUGUCCAUAAAAUAUUCAAUUUGGUCUACAAUUCAAAGUCGUUAAAAUAGAAGUUAAGACAAUUGAUGCUUUAGGGAUUUGUCGUGAGAGAGGAGCGUGAGGGAGAGAGGAAAGUAGGCUGGAGAUAUGGUAGAUAAGGUUGGAUUUCUCUAUGCACGCACCCAUUUCUUUAUGAAUUCUUUAUUCAUUCUUUUUAUUUUUUUAAUGUAUUAAAAAGCGAGAAGAACGAGAAGCGAAACGGCAGCAGACGGCAGCAACUGCUGCCGUUUCUCUCGUCAUUCUCUCGUUCCUCUCGCUACCUAGCAUUUUCCUUUAUUUAAAGUCUAUAAAGCGAUGGUAAGCUUGGUCAGAUGCCUUCCUCUAAGUUGAUUUGGCCAAGGCCUACCAACCAUUAGAUUUCCAUAGGAGAUGACAAAAUUACCACAAACAGAACGAUGGUACAUAUAAUUAUGCCAAUAUUAAUAUAGAAGUCUUACUUAAUUUUUAAAUGCAUAAUAAUACUAAUAAUAAUAAUCAGGUGAGUUAUGUUCUUAUCUAGUUCUAGGAGAAAGAAGAGCCUGCAAUGGAUUCUUCAUCACAACAGUAAACUCUUGCUUCUCAGUCAAAUCAACCUCAUCACCAUCCACAGCCGUCCACUCAAAAUUCCAAACCAAAUUAGCCACAAAAUACUCCAAAUGAAGCAUAGCCAAACCAAAACCGGGACAGAUUCUCCUGCCAGCUCCAAAUGGCAUCAUCUUAAUUUCCCUACUCCCCGUUAUGUCAAAAUCUUGAUCAUGAUCAUUCAAAAACCUCUCGGGCUUAAACCCCAUCGGAUCCUCCCAAACUUUCGGAUCCCAACCCAUUUCGGCCACCAUGAAAUUCACACUCCCGUCCUUUGGUAUCACAUACUUAUCAUCAAGAACGAAAUCCUCUGUCACGGCAUGUGGCAACACGAAAUGCCCAGGCGGGUGCCUCCUCAGUCCCUCUAAAAUCACUGCUUUCAGAUACGGCAUCUUCUGCAACUCCUCCUCUUUCACCUCUUCAUUUUCACCAACAACUCCUCUGAUUUCCGUAUAAACCGUCUCUUGAACGUGCGGGUGCUUCACCAGAUUGGCCAUGAUCCACUGUAGCGCCGUGGAGGUAGUGUCAGUGCCCGCGUUGAGAAAUUCUGAACACAAACUCACAAUUUCCUCUUCGCUAAGCUUUCUUUUCUCUUCAGGAAGCUGUAAAUCUAACAGAGUAUCCACAUACGAUAACACAUACUCCCUCUCCUUAAUGCUGAGGCUCUCUUCUUCUUUCAUCUUCUUUCUUGCUCUUAUCAAAGGAACCAAUACGUUUUCUUGAUCUCUACGAAUCUGCAAGAACUGCUCCCACUUCUUAACAAAAACAAUUUUUGAUAAUCUUGGCCAGAAAUUCAAUAUAUUGAAAUUCCCAAAAGUCAACAGCUGUGUGCGCUGAACGUUCUCAAUUUUUUUGAUUUGGGAUUCAUCAAGCUUGUCUCCGAAACACAUGAGCACCAACAAGCAAAACAUGGCGUAUUGGAAAUGAUCAAGAACACGAACAGGGACAGGGCGGUCCCCAUUUUUGGACUCUGACUUUAAACGAUUCAAGAGAAUUUCAAGAACCCAUUUGCGGGCGUGCUUGUAGGAUUUCACACGAGAGGGAUGGAGGAUCUCUGCUGAGAGAUUACGGCGGAAGAGCCGCCACGUUGUGCCAUAAGAAGCAGAGCUGAUGUUAUGCUGGUUGCUGCUGACGAUUUUGUUUGUGGGAAGAGGCCGGGGUCUGUCAGCAAAGAUGGCGCCGUUUUGGACCAAGGCCUUGUGGGCCAGUGAGCGAUCGGCGAUAAAGAUAGCCGGGCGAGGGCCGAUAAAGAGCGUGACGACGGGGCCAAGCUUGGAGUGAAGG
This 11118-nucleotide long non-coding RNA is filed under the name Citrus x clementina. RNAcentral's name for it is "Citrus clementina (C. clementina) long non-coding RNA (CCLE_LNC003572)". Lineage: Eukaryota; Viridiplantae; Streptophyta; Magnoliopsida; Sapindales; Rutaceae. The record is from RNAcentral.